Molecule: long non-coding RNA, 853 nt
Filed under: Marmota monax (woodchuck)
Lineage: Eukaryota; Metazoa; Chordata; Mammalia; Rodentia; Sciuridae
Source: RNAcentral
UGCAUUUAAGAACUGAAGUCUGAAUAAUGAUGGUUUGGGGAAAAUAUAUUUUCAUCUUGUGUGCCCUAAAAUAAAAGCUCAUUAACACAUGACACUUAAUUUGAUUGACAGCUGUCUAGGAGGUGACAUUUUUAAGGUGGGCUGUAUAUAUGUGUUGGAUUGACUAUAAAUGUGUUGUUACUAUGUUGUGAAAAUUAUGGCUGGAAGUAAAGUUUUAAAAAGUGGGUCAUGUAACUUUUUAAUACAUAGAGAGAAGAUUUCCAACCACCUCACUGCUGCUCACAUUUUAACUAGCUUGAAGGCUAGUCCUUGAGGUGUGUAUUCAUGCAUAUUUACUCCUGGGGCAAGCAGCCAACUCUCUUAGUUUUGAUGAACUGACAAUAAAGAACGUAUCCUUUGGAUUUGUGAAGAUAGAUUGAAAAAAGAAAAAAAAUGCAUAAAUGCCUUCUGCAUUGUACCAUUGCUCAUGAUAAUUAUAAAGUUUUAAACAACUCUUGGAGACCAUAUUUUCAGAUAAAAUGUUGAUUUUGUUGUUGUUUCAGCAUUCUCUCUUGUAAGAACCUUUUAUCAUUUUACCCUGUGUAUCUAAUAAUGUGUAUCCUCUGCUACCUGCCCCUGCAUGAUUUCGUCUUAACAUCUGGUGAAUCUUUCUUGGAAAAAGUCACAUCAGGGUGCUUUUGUGUUUUCUCUUUUUCCAAAUUUAUAUCUUUUUCUUUGUCAAGUGUAGGUUAAUUAUGUCAUUUCGCAGUGCAAUUGAUUAAAGAAGGCAGGUUUUAAAAGUAAGUGUGUAGUCAAUCAGAGAGCCACGUAUAUCAUGACUUUUUAUUUCUCUUCUAAGUACAUGAAAACCUAC